RNAcentral lists this ribosomal RNA (333 nucleotides) under uncultured Catellatospora sp. RNAcentral describes it as "bacterial SSU rRNA". It matches the Rfam family "Bacterial small subunit ribosomal RNA", at positions 568 to 898 of the family's 1533-position model. Lineage: Bacteria; Bacillati; Actinomycetota; Actinomycetes; Micromonosporales; Micromonosporaceae. The record is from RNAcentral.
CUCGUAGGCGGCUCAUUGCGUCAACCGUGAAAUCCUGCUGCUCAACGGCAGGUCUGCGGUUGAUACGGGUGGGCUGGAGUUCGGUAGGGGAGACUGGAAUUCCUGGUGUAGCGGUGAAAUGCGCAGAUAUCAGGAGGAACACCGGUGGCGAAGGCGGGUCUCUGGGCCGAUACUGACGCUGAGGAGCGAAAGCGUGGGGAGCGAACAGGAUUAGAUACCCUGGUAGUCCACGCUGUAAACGUUGGGCGCUAGGUGUGGGGGGCCUCUCCGGUUUCCUGCGCCGUAGCUAACGCAUUAAGCGCCCCGCCUGGGGAGUACGGCCGCAAGGCUAAA